This 72-nucleotide transfer RNA is filed under the name Camelus bactrianus (Bactrian camel). It matches the Rfam family "tRNA". Rfam says of the family: Transfer RNA (tRNA) molecules are approximately 80 nucleotides in length. Their secondary structure includes four short double-helical elements and three loops (D, anti-codon, and T loops). Further hydrogen bonds mediate the characteristic L-shaped molecular structure. tRNAs have two regions of fundamental functional importance: the anti-codon, which is responsible for specific mRNA codon recognition, and the 3' end, to which the tRNAs corresponding amino acid is attached (by aminoacyl-tRNA synthetases). tRNAs cope with the degeneracy of the genetic code in two manners: having more than one tRNA (with a specific anti-codon) for a particular amino acid; and 'wobble' base-pairing, i.e. permitting non-standard base-pairing at the 3rd anti-codon position. The record is from Rfam by way of RNAcentral. Lineage: Eukaryota; Metazoa; Chordata; Mammalia; Artiodactyla; Camelidae. RNAcentral also lists the same sequence under 2 other names.
GUGGGUAUAGCUCAGUGGUAGAGCGCAUGCUUAGCAUGCAUGAGGGCCUGGGUUCAAUCCCUAGUACCUCCA